This 325-nucleotide ribosomal RNA is filed under the name uncultured bacterium. RNAcentral describes it as "bacterial SSU rRNA". It matches the Rfam family "Bacterial small subunit ribosomal RNA", at positions 30 to 355 of the family's 1533-position model. The record is from RNAcentral.
AUUGAACGCUGGCGGCAUGCCUUACACAUGCAAGUCGAACGGCAGCACGGGAGCAAUCCUGGUGGCGAGUGGCGAACGGGUGAGUAAUAUAUCGGAACGUGCCCAGUCGUGGGGAUAACGUAGCGAAAGCUACGCUAAUACCGCAUACGAUCUAUGGAUGAAAGCGGGGGAUCGCAAGACCUCGCGCGAUUGGAGCGGCCGAUGGCAGAUUAGGUAGUUGGUGGGAUAAAAGCUUACCAAGCCGACGAUCUGUAGCUGGUCUGAGAGGACGACCAGCCACACUGGGACUGAGACACGGCCCAGACUCCCUACGGGAGGCAGCAGU